CAGAGAGGCCCCUCUUCCUCCCUCAAUUCCAGGGUGUGCCUGAGAGAGAGCUUCUGUGCUUCGCUCCAAAAAAAAGGAGUCUUGUGGCCAUUUUGAAAUGUUAGAGUCCUAGGGAAAGAAAAAUCAUGGAAUUUCCAUAUUCAUGGAAAAACAGGACCUUCUCAGAUGACUAAAAGAAAUCAAAAUUCCAUUCACAAAAGAAAAAGGUUAUGUGAAAUGUCUCUUUAGGAUAAAUUCCCAGAAAUGGAAUUGCUCUGGAUGCCCUGCACUGCUGAUUUGAUAUAGAUUGCCAAAUGGCCUGAAGAGUUACUUUUCAAAUUUUAGGUCCCAGAUGUCCAGUUAUGGUGGAGCCCUCCCUACCUUUAAGCUCAUUGUGAGCUCCCCAGAUUCUGCAAGAAAGGCCAGGGUAGAGAAAAUAUACGGCGAAAAACACAACUAACCUGUGCCUGGUUCUGGAAGGUUCUUCAUGCACAUUAUCUUGUGCAAGCCACAGAUCAUUCUUAAGAAGCUGGAAUCAUCUGAUCUACUUUAUAUAUGAAGACUCGGAAGCUCAGAAGCUGGAUAAAUUCCUCAAAGAGAGAAGUUUGCUAUUGAAACUUGACUUUAUGGGGCCACAAAAUGCCCUGGGCACUUGGAGGAUGAGUAGUAAAAGUAGGGUGAAGAGGCCAA
Molecule: long non-coding RNA, 669 nt
Organism: Prionailurus viverrinus (fishing cat)
Lineage: Eukaryota; Metazoa; Chordata; Mammalia; Carnivora; Felidae
Exons: 3
Source: RefSeq, a predicted model, not a curated record